AUUUCAUUUAGAGAUCUCUGCCUACCUGAGGCCUUCUGAAGGUUCCCCAGGCACCAGCCAGCCAUGCCUCAUCUAGCACAAGUUUGGAGGGCAUGUUGAAGCUGUGUGCUGCAGCCCUGGAGGUGUUCCUGGAGGAUUCCUGGAGGAGAUGAGCUCUCCUCUCAGCCCAACAAAAUGCCAACCUCUCUUCCCAUUUGCCCUGGGUUCUGGAGGCACAACCCAGGAAGGACCUUCUGCAUGCUGCCCGUGCUCCAGCACGCAAGUGACACAUGGCUCAUGGCUGGCCCCAGCAUCCCAGGGAGAGGAACAUCUGCUUGGCCUCAGGCAGGCCUCUGUCUGGUUUUGGGAGAGACAUCAGCUCUGAAGCUCUGAGCAGACCCCAGAGAGAUGAUGGUGGAAAAACACAGGGUAGGACAGUGGCACCUUGCCCUGAGGUCCCAGAAGAGUGUGAGGAGGCAAGGGGCGGGCAGUACUUGGCCAUCUCUGCCCCUGUUCUGCUGUUUGCUUGGGCUGGCCAGUAACCAGGCCUGGAGGAGACCGGGAGGACCUAGUGAGCUGUCUGUGGUCCCCUUUUCCAUUUUGUAACAGGAAGUUUUGGGCAAUGUGAUAAGCAAGCAAGACUGGAAUGGUGUUUGGGGAGGCACCCCAAAUGCCAAGGGGUGGCAUCCUCCCAGUCUGGUGGGAGAACACCUUCCGGGGUGAAGGGGACUCACAAACAGCCCUCCAUCAAUAUUUGUACUGGAAAUAGCUGCCCUUCUGAGGUCUCACUGACUUAGGCCAGAGAGAAUUGAGGGUGAUAGACUGUAGGACUGACAGCCUCCAGCUGCCCACAGUGUUGUGCUGUCUUGUUCCCACAGAGGUGCUGGUGUGGCCUGGGGCGGCCUGGUUCCCCUCAGGCCCUGGCUGCCCAUACACAGUGCUCCCUGCCAGUUUCCUCUGCCUCCCCUCAGAGCAGGCACGUAGCAAAAAUACGUACGUGCAGUUAGGCUCUUGCCUGCGCCUGGACCUUUCCUUCCAACUCAUUUCCAAGUGCAGUGCUGAAAAACCACAGGUUUUCUCUUCUAGCUGGUCACAGCUAUCACUCCUUGACGUGUCUUUGAAUCCAAGGAACGAAAAUAGUUCUGUGAGAUCUAUUAAGUCUCUGGCUUGUAAAACACAAUAAUUUCUUACUAGGUUACACUAAUAUUUCGUAAUUCAUUCUUAAUAUUAUUCUUCAAUAAAGCUCUGCACAAACAAUCUAUCCCACAGGAGAAACCUCUGCCAGAACCCAGAUGUCAAACACAUUUGCUUCAAAUACAGGAGUUCGUGACCUUUUCUGUUUGUUAAUGUGACGCCAUGGAAAUUGUUUAUAAUAAAUAAGCGUGUUUCAGAGUCAGGUGCCCCACAGGGCCUUUUUCAGAGAUACGACAGCCCUUCCUGAAACGGGUCUUUCCUGUUUUGUUUUUGUCCCCUAACAAUAAGGUUUAGGGAACAAUUUGAAACCCUGUCGCUGAGCCAAGUCCAACUGCUGAGAGGUAGACAGGAAGUCAGAGAUAUCUCAGAUUUCAAAUCUUUCCUGAAAUUGGCUGCCGAUAAGGCUCCUCCUUUUUCUUUUAUCCUUUACCCUAAAAAUUCAAAUUUCAAACAGCAGGCUGUAUAGAUCUAAACAAAUUCUAAAUGUAUCAGCUUAAAUCACCAAAUCAACUAGGAAACUAUUGGAAUUUCUUGGAUUCAAAUAGCAGAUUUGACAUGUGAAGGGUUAUUUACUUAUAACAUGCUCGUUUAAAGCCAAGGCUGUACCAUCUGCCUACAAGCUUCAGGUACAAGUGAUCUACAAGUUAUCUGAAGGUUAAUAUGUUGAUAAUGUAUUUCCACUAUCUUCUUCAGCAGAUGUGACAGUGUUCUCACAAACAUGUGGGACCAGCGCCUGGACUAAGAGCAGCUGGCUCUUAAUGAAGCCAGGGCAAGAAAAGGAUGCAACUGAAAAACAAGAGCCUUGGCUCUGCUCAUCCUAUUGUCAGCUGUACAUUAUGGUUUAUAACGUCUCCUAAGUUUGUUGGGUUCACCAUCUCAGAUUCCUAGACAGUAGCAGCAGCAAGCAAUGUCUCCCAAGGAGGAAGCUGAAACUUUCCCUUCUGCAUAAAUGUGGUCCUACUUGCCACUGUGGGCUGUAGCUGAUGGCAGGAAAACUCCAGUUCAGGGCUAGGACAGCACCCCUUCCCUCAUUGGUUACCCAGCUAGGAUUCUCACCUUGCCUUGUGCUAGUAUGGGGCUGGGAGCCAUUACCAACAUCAGAGAUUGACAAGUAGCUGAGAAGUAAUUGUUGCAGCCUACACAGAUGUCACAGCUAAAUCCCUGUGCGUCUCACUGUCUGUGGAGAGACGGAUCCAAAGUGUUCUGGCGCAUGAAGGAUGAGUCCACCUUGGACUUAUUCUCACAAUGUAUUAAUGAUGUGU
This 2435-nucleotide long non-coding RNA is filed under the name Gallus gallus (chicken). RNAcentral's name for it is "lncRNA (ENSGALG00010018129.1)". Lineage: Eukaryota; Metazoa; Chordata; Aves; Galliformes; Phasianidae. The record is from RNAcentral.